GAGCGGCGGACGGGUGAGUAAUACUUAGGAAUCUACCUAGUAGUGGGGGAUAGCACGGGGAAACUCGUAUUAAUACCGCAUACGACCUACGGGAGAAAGGGGGCAGUUUACUGCUCUCGCUAUUAGAUGAGCCUAAGUCGGAUUAGCUAGAUGGUGGGGUAAAGGCCUACCAUGGCGACGAUCUGUAGCUGGUCUGAGAGGAUGAUCAGCCACACCGGGACUGAGACACGGCCCGGACUCCUACGGGAGGCAGCAGUGGGGAAUAUUGGACAAUGGGGGAAACCCUGAUCCAGCCAUGCCGCGUGUGUGAAGAAGGCCUUUUGGUUGUAAAGCACUUUAAGCAGUGAAGAAGACUCUUCGGUUAAUACCCGGAGACGAUGACAUUAGCUGCAGAAUAAGCACCGGCUAACUCUGUGCCAGCAGCCGCGGUAAUACAGAGGGUGCAAGCGUUAAUCGGAAUUACUGGGCGUAAAGCGAGCGUAGGUGGCUUGAUAAGUCAGAUGUGAAAUCCCCGGGCUUAACCUGGGAACUGCAUCUGAAACUGUUAGGCUAGAGUAGGUGAGAGGGAAGUAGAAUUUCAGGUGUAGCGGUGAAAUGCGUAGAGAUCUGAAGGAAUACCGAUGGCGAAGGCAGCUUCCUGGCAUCAUACUGACACUGAGGCUCGAAAGCGUGGGUAGCAAACAGGAUUAGAUACCCUGGUAGUCCACGCCGUAAACGAUGUCUACUAGUCGUUGGGUCCCUUGAGGACUUAGUGACGCAG
This 760-nucleotide ribosomal RNA is filed under the name Psychrobacter sp. E2R. RNAcentral describes it as "bacterial SSU rRNA". It matches the Rfam family "Bacterial small subunit ribosomal RNA", at positions 93 to 851 of the family's 1533-position model. The record is from RNAcentral. Lineage: Bacteria; Pseudomonadati; Pseudomonadota; Gammaproteobacteria; Moraxellales; Moraxellaceae.